Oreochromis aureus is the source of this 282-nucleotide non-coding RNA. The record is from the annotation of a RefSeq genome assembly. Lineage: Eukaryota; Metazoa; Chordata; Actinopteri; Cichliformes; Cichlidae.
AUGUUCUCUUUAGCUCUGCUGCUGGCUGCUGGAUCCUGUGUGAAGUGUGAACAGCUGACACAGCCAGCCUCUGUGAUUGUGGAGCCAGGUCAGCAUCUGACCAUCACCUGUCAGGUCUCUUAUUCUUUGAGCUACUGGACAGCUUGGAUCAGACAGCCUGCAGGGAAAGGACUGGAGUGGAUUGGGAUGAAACAUACUGGGGACUCUCACUAUAAAGAUUCACUGAAGAACAAAUUCAGCAUUGACUUAGACACUUCAAGCAACACAGUAACUUUAAAUUGA